Molecule: ribosomal RNA, 484 nt
Filed under: uncultured bacterium
Lineage: Bacteria
Description: bacterial SSU rRNA
Rfam family: Bacterial small subunit ribosomal RNA
Source: RNAcentral
AUUGAACGCUGGCGGCAUGCCUUACACAUGCAAGUCGAACGGUAACAGGCUUCGGAUGCUGGCGAGUGGCGAACGGGUGAGUAAUACAUCGGAACGUGCCCGAUCGUGGGGGAUAACGGAGCGAAAGCUUUGCUAAUACCGCAUACGAUCCUACGGAUGAAAGCAGGGGACCGCAAGGCCUUGCGCGGACGGAGCGGCCGAUGGCAGAUUAGGUAGUUGGUGGGAUAAAAGCUUACCAAGCCGACGAUCUGUAGCUGGUCUGAGAGGACGACCAGCCACACUGGGACUGAGACACGGCCCAGACUCCUACGGGAGGCAGCAGUGGGGAAUUUUGGACAAUGGGCGCAAGCCUGAUCCCAGCCCAUGCCGCGUGCAGGAUGAAGGCCUUCGGGUUGUAAACUGCUUUUGUACGGAACGAAAAGACUCUUUCUAAUAAAGAGGGUCCAUGACGGUACCGUAAGAAUAAGCACCGGCUAACUACGUG